GGAACUCCUCACACCUAGAUCUUAUUCUGGACGUCAAAAUGGAUACUUCAAGGAAAUGAGAAGGUUGUCUACUGCACCACUGAACUUUGUGGCCAUAACAAAGGAAGACACAAUGUCAUUUGCAUCUGUUUGUGAUUCUGAGCCAGGCUCUCCUCCUCAGUGUUGAGUUAAAAACCGUGAAUGGUGACAGUGUAGAAGUUCAGCAGUUCGACACUUCAAUUUAAAGCAGUGGAAUUUUGUGAAUAUCAAAUAGAUGUACACUAGUGUAUCAUUGUGCUUUGUUAGGAGUACAUGGAGAGUGGUUACUGACAUUUGUAAACAUGCAGUCAGCUGCAAUUUGCUUUGAAGAAUAUGGGCUUCUGGAAGGGGUCAAGACACUGGUAGAUAAUAGUUUGGAAGUACUUGAUAACCUCAAGUCUUGUUUCACAAUAUAGGGG
This 437-nucleotide unclassified non-coding RNA is filed under the name Hevea brasiliensis (rubber tree). Lineage: Eukaryota; Viridiplantae; Streptophyta; Magnoliopsida; Malpighiales; Euphorbiaceae. The record is from RNAcentral.